GUUUUGCUCCAAUUAUAGCUACUAAUUUGCAAAUGGCUCCAAGCAGACUGAGGUAUCCCAUGACUUUCUCUUAGCUGUAUGUCUUGAGUCCAGACAGUGGAAACUUGAUGUCCCUCUGGCCUCCCAGGGUACCAUGAGAGCUUCUUUUUAAUGUGGAACUGAUCUCUUUCUUUGAGCGAUAAUAGCAAAGCAAGCACUUCACAAAGACCAGUCCAUCUCGUCUCCAUAAAACCUUAAUGCCCUUCAAUGUGCAAAAAACAGGGAACAAGCUUUCACCCUUUGCCAGAAAACACCAAUUGAGAAGUGUAAAAGGGACCAAAAACAUUUGAAUAUCCCAUUUGAGAUCCACGUGUUAUCCAUUUGUCCCACAUUGCAAGAGUUGGAGAAAGUCCAUCCUCUCUAUAGCUUGCUGGUAAGCUUGAGCUUUGCUUACACUUAAGAGAGCGGGGAGGGGCAGCAUCCUCUGUGGAGCAGCCCCUCAGCCCUCUCCAGGAGGCUGGCUGUGUGGGGUCCCUGCUCCUGGGCAUUUGCUGUGCAACUUCACAUCAAAACCAACUCCCCCAGCUGGAAUGAGGACCAGGGUUCUGGGAGAGGAGAUGCUGCUUUCAAGAUGCACGUGAACGUGAACUUCUGAAGAGCCUGCAGCACGGCCACCCUGUCCUGCCCAGUCUCCAUUUGGGAGAUUACACCAUUGGGUUCCUGGUUUCACUUUGCCCUCACCAACUUUCCAUACUGUCCAGAGACAGUUUGACGCUUGGAGAACACAGUCACUUUCAGAGGGAGGUGCUUUUGCCGAGGAGAAGGGGCAGGAGAUAACUGGCUGUGUGGGAAGGAUCCACUGGUCGGCUCCAAGGCCAUCGAAUAUGGAGAAACUACUAGGUAGGAGUCUGGGUCCCACACUGUGAGGAAGCCUUCCAGUGGGAGCACUGAAUGUCUGUACACUUAGAUGUCCAGUGAGCUUCAGAAUUAAUCAUGAACAUACCAAAAAAGAAAGUUCUAAGCGAGCGUGAUUGAAGAGGAGAAGAGGAGAUGGUUCUGCCCUAAAGAUGUCAAAAAGGUUGCCUGUGGUCACACUGUCAUUUUGAGGCAAAGCUGGAAUUGGAACCAUGGGGCCCAGACUCCCAACCUUGGAGUUUUCUCUUUUAAAGCAUGGUGCUAUUCUCUGACAACCUUAGAGUUCUAGCAAAUGUAUUUGUACCUUUUUUCAUUUCAUUAUGCAUUUACAUUCCAUUUAAUAGUAUACAUUCCUGCUGGUAACAGAAGUUGUGGAUGUGCAUCUAGUAAGAAUGGAAAUUUGGGUGAAAAUGGGC
Molecule: long non-coding RNA, 1310 nt
Filed under: Equus caballus (horse)
Lineage: Eukaryota; Metazoa; Chordata; Mammalia; Perissodactyla; Equidae
Description: lncRNA (ENSECAG00000048372.1)
Source: RNAcentral